CAGUCGAACGGGGGCCAGCGGCGGAAGGGGAUGGUUUACCAGACCCCGAAGGUGCGGGCCUUAGUGGCGGACGGGUGAGUAACGCGUGGGGAACCUGCCCCGUACCGGGGGAUAACACCUGGAAACAGGUGCUAAUACCGCAUAACAGAAGGGGACGCAUGUUCCUUUCUUGAAAACUCCGGUGGUACGGGAUGGACCCGCGUCUGAUUAGCUGGUUGGCGGGGUAACGGCCCACCAAGGCGACGAUCAGUAGCCGGCCUGAGAGGGCGGACGGCCACAUUGGGACUGAGAUACGGCCCAGACUCCUACGGGAGGCAGCAGUGGGGAAUAUUGGGCAAUGGACGCAAGUCUGACCCAGCAACGCCGCGUGAAGGAAGAAGGCUUUCGGGUUGUAAACUUCUUUUAAGGGGGAAGAGUAGAAGACGGUACCCCUUGAAUAAGCCACGGCUAACUACGUGCCAGCAGCCGCGGUAAUACGUAGGUGGCAAGCGUUGUCCGGAUUUACUGGGUGUAAAGGGCGUGCAGCCGGAGAGACAAGUCAGAUGUGAAAUCCACGGGCUCAACCCGUGAACUGCAUUUGAAACUGUUUCCCUUGAGUGUCGGAGAGGUAAUCGGAAUUCCUUGUGUAGCGGUGAAAUGCGUAGAUAUAAGGAAGAACACCAGUGGCGAAGGCGGAUUACUGGACGAUAACUGACGGUGAGGCGCGAAAGCGUGGGGAGCAAACAGGAUUAGAUACCCUGGUAGUCCACGCUGUAAACGAUCGAUACUAGGUGUGCGGGGACUGACCCCCUGCGUGCCGGAGUUAACACAAUAAGUAUCG
RNAcentral lists this ribosomal RNA (820 nucleotides) under uncultured bacterium. RNAcentral describes it as "bacterial SSU rRNA". It matches the Rfam family "Bacterial small subunit ribosomal RNA", at positions 59 to 869 of the family's 1533-position model. The record is from RNAcentral.